Molecule: ribosomal RNA, 492 nt
Filed under: uncultured bacterium
Lineage: Bacteria
Description: partial 16S ribosomal RNA
Rfam family: Bacterial small subunit ribosomal RNA
Source: RNAcentral
AGUGAACGCUGGCGGUAGGCCUAACACAUGCCAGUCGAACGGCAGCACAGUAAGAGUUUGCUCUUACGGGUGGCGAGUGGCGGACGGGUGAGGAAUACAUCGGAAUCUACUUUUUCGUGGGGGAUAACGUAGGGAAACUUACGCUAAUACCGCAUACGACCUACGGGUGAAAGCAGUGGAUCUUCGGACCUUGCGCGAUUGUAUGAGCCGAUGUCGGAUUAGCUAGUUGGCUGGGUAAAGGCCCACCAAGGCGACGAUCCGUAGCUGGUCUGAGAGGAUGAUCAGCCACACUGGAACUGAGACACGGUCCAGACUCCUACGGGAGGCAGCAGUGGGGAAUAUUGGACAAUGGGCGCAAGCCAGAUCCAGCCAUACCGCGUGGGUGAAGAAGGCCUUCGGGUUGUAAAGCCCUUUUGUUGGGAAAGAAAAGCAGCAGGUUAAUACCCCGCUGUUCUGACGGUACCCAAAGAAUAAGCACCGGCUAACUUCGUG